AUUGAACGCUGGCGGCAGGCCUAACACAUGCAAGUCGAGCGAGCGGCGGACGGGUGAGUAAUGUAUGGGGACUGCCCGAUAGAGGGGGAUAACUACUGGAAACGGUGGCUAAUACCGCAUACUAUCGGAUAACCCAUAUGGGAUUAGCUAGUUGGUGGGGUAAAGGUGCACCUAGGAACCGAUCUCUAGCUGGUCUGAGAGGAUGAUCAGCGAAACGGGAACUGAGACACGGCCCAGACUCCUACGGAGGCAGCAGUGGGGAAUAGUGGACAAGUGGAGAAAGCGUGAUGCAGCCAUGCCGCGUGUAUGAAUAAGGCCUUAGGGUUGUAAAGUACUUUCAGCGGGGAGGCGUUACCCGCAGAAGAAGCACCGGCUAACUCCGUGCCAGCAGCCGCGGUAAUUC
Molecule: ribosomal RNA, 403 nt
Filed under: uncultured bacterium
Lineage: Bacteria
Description: partial 16S ribosomal RNA
Rfam family: Bacterial small subunit ribosomal RNA
Source: RNAcentral